UUUGGUGAUCAGAAUAGUGAAGUGGUAUAUUCUGGGUGUUUAUAUCUAGUUUCAUACCUUCUCCAGACUCUCUUCAAGGAAGCCUGUUCUUUUCAGAAGCAUCGUUUGCAUGGACUCUUUAAUAGAUGAGAAUGAUGAUUUUUUUUUUAAUAUGGUACUAGGCAGAGCCACAAGCACCAGUCAGUUCUAAAGAGCCAACUGAAACACAAAGUUAUAAUUGCUAGCUUGUGUGAAGACAUGCUUUUCUCCUUCCAUUCUUGUUUACAGUUACCUGAACCAAUGUCACUUUCAGAUGCGCAGGACAAUGCUGACUAUAGAUUAUUUCAGAAAAUACUCAAAUUGUGUCGUUUGCCAUUUCCCUUUUGCACUACAUAAAGUACACUGGGCAUUGAAUGGCAUUCAGAAACACAGAGAGGGUAAUCAGAAGACAUACUGGCGAGCAGAGAACAUCAGUACUGAUGGAAUGCCUCAGAAGCAUUGCUGAACAACAGCUAUGUGCUACACCUUUUUCCGGAUGAUGAAGUUCCACAGUGGCAUUGUUGUUUUACAAAUGGCUUUGGAACCAACAGCAGUUAAAUAGUCACCAGCGAUUUUGGCUUUUGUUGGUGGUGCCUUUGUUCUGUUUUUAGCCCCA
Molecule: long non-coding RNA, 634 nt
Filed under: Heterocephalus glaber (naked mole-rat)
Lineage: Eukaryota; Metazoa; Chordata; Mammalia; Rodentia; Bathyergidae
Description: lncRNA (ENSHGLG00000049104.1)
Source: RNAcentral